Molecule: transfer RNA, 72 nt
Filed under: Marmota monax (woodchuck)
Lineage: Eukaryota; Metazoa; Chordata; Mammalia; Rodentia; Sciuridae
Description: tRNA.Ala
Source: RNAcentral
GCUGGUAUGGGUCAGUGGUAGAGUGCCUUCCUAGCAUGCAGGAGGCACUGUGUUCAAUUCUCAGCACCAUAU